This is a long non-coding RNA of Cyanistes caeruleus (blue tit), 1569 nucleotides long. The record is from Ensembl. NCBI's taxonomy places the organism in Eukaryota, Metazoa, Chordata, Aves, Passeriformes, Paridae.
CAACUCUGCUCACUUAGAGCCAUCUCAGUAGAUCAAAUGAUGUUCAAACAGCACUGAUCUGUAGCUAUCAGCUGGAAACAGCCAAAAAUGCUGUUUCUUCAGGCAAAAAAUUGUGAUAGUUUGUAGUAUUUUGAAGAGAAAAUUUACAUCUCUGGAAUCCACUACAUUGAGAAAUGGAAAUUUCAACCUGUCAAGUAACUGAGAAGGAGACAUCCACAGAGCCAGUCCUGCUCCCUCACCAGGAGAUUUGCAGCAGCCCUGCUUAUCCCUGAGAGGUACCAAAGUCUUAAUAAGGAUGGGGGGAAGGAGAGCAUCUUUCCCACUGCAGGUCUUCCUCAUGGCCCUUCACUGGAGUCUCCUGGAAAGAACUGCCACAGUCAUUUGGAGGCAUCUUAACAGCAUCUACACUCUGAAGACAUCUGCUGAAAGUGGUGUAGGUACCCAAAUCAGUUUGGGCUAGCCUGGCAUUUCUCCCAGUGUUCUGACUCAAAGAUGAAAUGUGUUGCUAUCGUUUGCAAGAUGUUCACAAAGUUACAAAAGGAGACUGUACAGCGUGCCACCAUUUAAAAUCUCUUUAAAAUGUUUUUCCAUUGAAACAACAAACCUUGGCAGCUACCAUCUACUCUUUUCUGAUUUACAGCCAGCCAAUUAUAUCACUUAGAAUGCACUUAAUUAACAGGGAUGGAAAUUCAAGGCAUUGCCUUUAUGCUUUAUGUAGCUCUAGUUGUGCCUUAGGAAAAACUUACUGUGUGUUUAUUUCCUCCACUGUUUUUGUUAAUCUCUCCUACAUGCAAUAACUCCCUUGUAAAUAUUAUUUUAGUAAUGACCUCAGAGUGUUCUGAGCGCCUUCUAAAAGUCAGGUAUUAAAAGAAUUCAGUUGCCUCUAAUCUCUUUGUGUGACCUUCAGUCACAACAAUAGCUCUGAUACUUUGAGAAGGAAGAUCUGCUAGAGAGAAAACUGGUCCAGUGAAUCUGGGCCUGACAAACCAUGUUCUGUUUUUGUGGACUACCAGAUGGAAGAGCUACUGUAAGGUCUGCAAUCAGAGGGGCACACAUGCUGGCUGUGGAGGGGAUGGAGACAAUAGGAUGGCCUUCAGCAUGGUCUAACCAUCCAAGCACAACCAAAUGACCUUGCUGAGCAUUUAUGAUGCACUGAGCCCAUAGCAGCAGCCUGGUUUCUUUGUUCUCAAACCAUAACUGCUCUGUGUGGUGGGCUGUGUCACCCUCUAAAGCUCAGUAAAGAGGAGGCUCACUGUGAUUUAGGUGGCCCUGACCACAAAUAUACACAGAAACACACAAGCAUCUCAUGAACUGUGUUAGAAUUGAUGCCUGACAUAGUCACAAUGUUUACAGAAACUAGGCUGUGGUUCAACAUUGUGAUACAAAUAUCACAGUUUCAGAAAAGCUCUAGAUGAAAGGCUUUCCUAUCAUUAUAAUAUUUUUUCUCUUGGUGAAGGCAUAAGAGUGAUAAAUUUCUUACGGCCCUUAACAAAACGAGUGCCACAAAGCACAAGUUUGGAACUUCAUUUUCCUGUGGUUUCAAUAAAAGAUCAUAGAUUGUGAAGAACA